Molecule: ribosomal RNA, 473 nt
Filed under: uncultured bacterium
Lineage: Bacteria
Description: bacterial SSU rRNA
Rfam family: Bacterial small subunit ribosomal RNA
Source: RNAcentral
GCUGAGCACUCCUACGGGAGGCAGCAGUGGGGAAUAUUGCACAAUGGGCGCAAGCCUGAUGCAGCCAUGCCGCGUGUAUGAAGAAGGCCUUCGGGUUGUAAAGUACUUUCAGCAGUGAGGAAGGUGGGUAUGUUAAUAGCAUAUUCAUUUGACGUUAGCUGCAGAAGAAGCACCGGCUAACUCCGUGCCAGCAGCCGCGGUAAUACGGAGGGUGCGAGCGUUAAUCGGAAUUACUGGGCGUAAAGCGCAUGCAGGUGGUUUGUUAAGUCAGAUGUGAAAGCCCGGGGCUCAACCUCGGAAUUGCAUUUGAAACUGGACAAACUAGAGUACUGUAGAGGGGGUAGAAUUUCAGGUGUAGCGGUGAAAUGCGUAGAGAUCUGAAGGAAUACCGGUGGCGAAGGCGGCCCCCUGGACAGAUACUGACACUCAGAUGCGAAAGCGUGGGGAGCAAACAGGAUUAGAUACCCUGGUAG